RNAcentral lists this non-coding RNA (25 nucleotides) under Cricetulus griseus (Chinese hamster). The record is from RNAcentral. Lineage: Eukaryota; Metazoa; Chordata; Mammalia; Rodentia; Cricetidae.
AGACAGGACUGGAGAUGGCCACUGG